UACGUAGGGUGCAAGCGUUAUUCGGAAUUACUGGGCGUAAAGCGUGCGCAGGCGGUUUUGUAAGGCAGAUGUGAAAUGCCCGGGCUUAACCUGGGAACUGCAUUUGUGACUGCAUGGCUAGAGUUUGGCAGAGGGGGGUAGAAUUCCACGUGUAGCAGUGAAAUGCGUAGAUAUGUGGAGGAGCACCGAUGGCGAAGGCAGCCCCCUGGGUCAAGACUGACGCUCAUGCACGAAAGCGUGGGGAGCAAACAGG
RNAcentral lists this ribosomal RNA (253 nucleotides) under uncultured bacterium. RNAcentral's name for it is "partial 16S ribosomal RNA". It matches the Rfam family "Bacterial small subunit ribosomal RNA", at positions 524 to 776 of the family's 1533-position model. The record is from RNAcentral.